Molecule: non-coding RNA, 2164 nt
Organism: Misgurnus anguillicaudatus (oriental weatherfish)
Lineage: Eukaryota; Metazoa; Chordata; Actinopteri; Cypriniformes; Cobitidae
Source: RefSeq, a predicted model, not a curated record
AAACCAAACGUGUUCAUGUUUUUAUGUGUAUUUGGUUUGUGAAGUGUAAUUUAUGCUUUUUUCCUCUCCCCCACAGAUAACAUGGUUAAUAAAUGAUCAGACACGUCACUGGCUUUAAAAUAUAAACCCCAUUGAUGCAAAAAGAUGCUGCAUGGAAUGACAAUGAGGUUUGGAACAGACUUGAAGAACAUGGAAACAUCUCUAAAUAAAAUGGCCCCAAACAUCAUCAGGAGUGCAAAAGAAGGAAGUAAAAAACAUCUCUACGCCAAUCUCAUUGGAGAGGAAACCACAGAAGGUCUGGUGAGGAAUGCUGCACUUAUGUUAUUGCCAGCAUUAUUUCAAGAAAAUCCCAGCUUCCUUUACUGUGUAAAUAGUGAACCCAAAGGUCCCACACCAACCAUAGUGUUCAACGGCUCUCCUGAUCUUCUCAAAUCUGAAAGUAUCAACUUUAUAAUGGACAAUGUGAACUUAAUAUGUGGAAGACAUUGACAUCACAGGCUGUGGAAUGACUGUGUCACAGGUCGGAGAAGCGAACCGCCCCUGUCGCGGAUCACGCUCCUCCUAGUUCCACCUCGAGGAGGUCCCAAAGCACCCCAAUGACCAGACAAACCAGAGAUAAGUAAAAUAUAAAAAUAGAAACUUUAUUUAAAUUAUUUAAAACUAAAGUGGGGAAUGGGAAUCUAAAAAUCUCGCUUCUCGCCCUCAGGGGGAGUAUUACGGGGCCAGGGACGUUGGAGGGGUUUCCACGUGACUCCAGCUGGAACACCGCUAGAGAGCGUAUCUGGGUGGGUUGGGCACACACCGUCGCGGCGGCCCCUGAUGGCAUCCACAAAGGUCCAAGACCCUCCUAAGCUCCCAGCCGUAGCAGAACUACGUAUUUCAGCACCCGAACGACUAACAACCCAGCCGGCAUCUGCAGCGUAUAUCCAACGCGAUCAAACUUCACUCUGACAAGUAACUUGCUAUACACAACCACGCCGUCCUUUCGCCCGGACCAGCCCCGCACUCUUUCCGCCCGCUACCUAGCGGUCGCCGGAUCAGCAGAGCCUGCGGACUCUUCGGACUCUGCGACCCUUACAGUAACUUCUACCUUCUCUCUUUAUAUCCUCCUCCAUGGCGUGGCUCGCCCAACCAUCGCUCGCCAUGUCACUCACACAGCUGUGCCUUGUUUCAGCGAGUGCGGGGAUUCCCGGGGAACCCGGAAGUGCCGGUGUCUGUACAAACCGGUCCGGGCGGAACCUCUUCACUCUCCUUUUGGUUCCGCCCCGCAUAGUCACUCCGUGACAACUGUUUGCGUUUUUUUUUCUCCUCGAUGUUCAAUACCCUUUUGCCAUUAAGCACACAGUGACAUUAAUUUAUAAAAUAUAUGCUUAAGUUUUAAUACCUGUACAAAACAAAUGUACAAUCAACUUGUGUAAAUUGUCAUUUUAUUUAAUAGAUUGUUCAUGAAUUGUCUUUAAAUGCAUUGUGAUUUCGGUAACACUUUACAAUAAGGUUCAUUAGUUAACAUUAGUUAAUGUAUUAACUAACUUGAACAAACCACGAGCAAUACAUUUGUUACAGUAUUUAUUCAUCUUUGUUAAUGUUAGUUAAUAAAAAUGUAAGCUUUAAUUGCUUGUUCAUGUUAGUUCAGAGUGCAUUAACUAAUGUUAACAAGAUUUUAAUAAAGUAUAAGUAAUUGUUGAAAUUAACAUUAACAAAGAUUAAUAAAGGCUGUAUAAGUGCAGUUCAUUAUUAGUUCAUGUUAACUAAUGUAGCUAACUAAUGUUAACUAAUGAACCUUAUUGUAAAGUGUUACCGUGAUUUCUUUUCAUCAUUUCAGACACAUGUAAAAGUUACUAAAACUUAGUACUGCCUAUACUGUACAGUAUCUAUGCGUAAGGGAAAUAACUUGAACAAAAUUUUUUAUGUAUAGUGUAAUUAAUAGUUUAGCUGUUUAAUACAGAGAUGCAAUAUAUAUAUAUAUAUGUAUAUGUAUGUUUAUUAAAAAGUGAAAAUGCUUAAUGGAAAUAAUUAAAUAACUAAAUGGUUGAAUGUAAUGAGACAUUUUAAAUGUAAACCAAAGUUUUGCUGUCUAAUACAGAAUAAAGAGAUGUGAUUUUAAGUAAUUUUUAUAGAUUUAUAUUUCUGUAUAAUACAAUUAAUAAAUAGUAAACUUUUAUAA